This 828-nucleotide long non-coding RNA is filed under the name Olea europaea subsp. europaea. The record is from RNAcentral. Lineage: Eukaryota; Viridiplantae; Streptophyta; Magnoliopsida; Lamiales; Oleaceae.
GUUUAAUUUAAAAUGUUCUGAGCUCAUCAAAACAGUCAAUGUCACUCUCGAUUGAAGAAAAUGUGUAAAUCGUUACAUACAAGUUCUUUUCCAACCUAUUCUCUCUUUAGCAAUAUAUAGAAUAUAUAAACAAAGAAGAAGAAACAACAAAAUUCACCUUUAACGAUUUUCAUUUUUAUUUCGAUACAACUCAGAAAAUUAUUCAAGAAAAGGAUUGUAGCCUAGUUUUGAUAUAAAUCAUGGAGCAAUGCAGGCACAAGCUAGAGGCACUGCUUUUCCAGGUCGAAGACACUUGCCUCCCCUCUCAUAUUCUUUUUCUAUACAAGUCAAAUAUGUUUGUGAGCAUAAGAUUGCAUAGAACCCAAAUGAAACCUCUUAAUAGAAGGUUUUAAGCUCCCUCCCUCACGGUUAAUUUAUCACUUGACCUCGAUGUCAUAUAUAUAGUCCCAACCAAAAAAUCAUACAAUUAUACUUGUUUUAACGUGGCUGUCUACAUAAAUAACAUAGGCACAUUUAUAAAUUACUAGAGAAGCUACUUGCCUGUACCCCUCUUUGAACGCAUUUAGAGCACCUCUCCAAUCACCAACAGAAUCCAAAACAUCUCCAAUACUUUUUUGCAUUCCUAACUGAGUUGUGGUCACCAUCAGAUAAAAACAUAUCAUGGUAAGUUCGACCAAGCUGAGUGAUGGCUCUUUGUUGCUCAAUGAGGUCAUCUGCAUCCUUAGCAAGCUCUAAAUGCUUUUUCUGCCAGGUUUAAACAAUGGAAAUUCAGCAUGGUAUUAUUGAAGUGCAGAAACUGAACAUUUAAAAAAACAUAGAGAGAUUUCU